Non-coding RNA from Bemisia tabaci, 2713 nucleotides. The record is from RefSeq and is a predicted model, not a curated record. Lineage: Eukaryota; Metazoa; Arthropoda; Insecta; Hemiptera; Aleyrodidae.
CAUUCUGUCUUCUACAGAGAAAAAAGAAGAAUAGAGGAAAGACAGAUACAGAGUCAGAAACGUUUAUUGUGUCAGAAAUAGUCACAAAUGGUAAAUACUAUCUCAACAAAGACCACGGGUUUGAUCCAUAUGUUCUAGCAGAAUUCCUUACGGUACAGAUGAAAAGCCUGAAAGACGCUCUCAAGAGGAAGAAAAAAAUAUUAGUAUCAUCACAGAAGGUUUGCUCUAUCACUCUAAGGAGAACACAAGCAGUUUUUGGUCAAGGUGCUAAUCCCUCUGCAUAUAUUCUACCUGUGUCUGCAGUUGUACCAUGCCCAAGUUUUUUCCUAUGUCGUCCACUUAUUGGAGGAGCCUCCAAGCUUAACUUAGUUUGUCAUCAGAGGACUCAUGAAAUGCUGCUCCAAAACGUCGAGUUGUAAAGAGAUGAGCGAAGAAAAUUUGAAUUCCCAAAUAAAUUGAGAGGCAUUGUUGGCUAGUAAGGUGCCUAUCAGCUUUGACUUCAACGUCAUGGAUCAUGUACCUGAUGGUAAUUACACCUAUGUUCUUGUAGAUACCUCUGAUUCUUCUUCGCUUCAAAAUUUUCUGCAAGAUCCACCUUUUCAAGAGGGUCAUUCCAUGUCAAUUCGAACAGACUUGUAACCACCCGACUCAGAUUUCCUUGAUUUUUUUUUACUGAAUCUAUCAGUCAAAGUAAGAAAAAACCCAAAUUUUCAGCUUCAUAUCUUCAAUAUUUCUUGAGAAAAAUUUUUUUGAAGUUUUAUGGCCUUCUCUAAAAAUGCUCUCUCCAAACUCAGAAAACUGGAAUGACUCGUGUUUGAAAAAGCCUCAUAAGUUUUGGAGUUUUAAAAAUUUUAAGCUGAAAUUUGUCACACUAGUUCGUGUUAGUAUGUAUUUUAAGGGAAACAUUCCCCAUUGAACCCAACUUAGGAGAGCCAACUGAGCCUAAGAUACGCCGUUUUAGCUCUGAUUUUUAACGCUGAAAACUAGUUUUCUUAAAAUGGGCGUAGCAACCGAAGCCAACAAGAUAUUACCAACUUUUUUUUUUGUAAAUCAACUUCAGAGUAUGCUCUAACUGAUUAAAAAAUGAAAAUCGUGGGUAUGCAGCUCCUUCAUUGGUUAAUCACACUUUUUAGCAAAAAACGCUCCAAAAAAAUUGAGUCUGGGGGCACAUGUUCAAAAAAACCUUCCCGAGGAACGGUAUGUGAAACAAGUGUGAAAACUAUCUUAAUCUCUUCGUUUUGAUGUGUAGUAGAAGAAUUUCGAUGUUGUCAAGCUCAAUUUUGCGUGUAACACCCCCCAUUCAAGAUGGCAGCCAAAACAGGGGUUCGGGGGUUGAAAAUUUUGGAAUUUGCCUUUGAUGUCGUUUUUGGGGUCUAUGCCUAUGUAACUUUUGUCGUAGAUUCCGAAUUUGAGGUUUAAAAUCCUUUCCGGUCCAAAGGGAUGCCCCAAAUUCAAGAUGGUCGUCAAAAUUCUUGCGGUAGGGUCUAAACCACUGUAGGUGCAUUCUGGUGCCAAGUUGCGUAUCCAACUUAGGGUUUUUUGGGUUGUAGAUUCCAAAUAUGAGGUCCAAAUAACUUAAUAGGCUCAUCGAAGUUCUCUAAUGACCAAAAUGAUGGCCAACAUGACGGCCGCUUACUAACUGAGAUCGCUAGACGGUUACCUAGAUGCAUAUUAAUGCAUGAAAUAAUUCACAUUUGUGUUGGAGCCCUUGGUGAAAGCCAAUACCUAUCUAAAUAAAAAAUUAACAAUAUCUGAAUGGUUUUUGCGGGAGGAAAAUCAAAAUAAACACAGAUAGGCACUGAAAAAUUUUUAUUAUUUUGCUUUUUAUCAAAAAACUGAACCUUCUGGCAACAUAUUUAGACAUGACAUUGGCCGUCAAUCUAUGCUAUGUUCCUAAAAAUUUAAUUACAACCAUUUCAUAAUCCAAUAACUUACUUACAAAAUAAAUACAUUAAGAAAGGAAAAGCAUGAAAGUUAUAGCAAAAUUUCAACGACCAGUUCUCUAAAUAACAACCAUACCAAAAGAUCUCCAUGACUCGGAAAAUCUUCUAAAAAGCUCUACGAGUGGUGAGAAUAAAAUAAGAAUAAGAAAAAGCACUUAAGGAGUUUUAAAAUCAAGACAAUUUCAAAGAUGUCUUAAAAUUUUGGCCUUCAAGGCUCAGUAAACCAUGUAUUGAUCAUUUUUUUAAACACUGAAAUUUAGCUUUGUAUCUACUGUUCUGAGAAUAUAUUUUUCAAACAAAGCAAGAGUUACAAUUAUGAUUUUCCAGUUUAUGAUGAUGAAAAGUUCUGGGUUAUAACUAUAAAAUGGCUUCAGCUAAGUUUCAGUUUCAAAAAUGUUAAAUAAGUCUAGCAGAAUCGAGUGUUAAAGACUUUUGUUAAAAAUUAAAAUAGGUAUGCUAAGUUGAUUUAAGUUACCUAAGGUAACUGCGCCAAUGAAUGGCACCUUAGUGGUGGAGGUUGACUUUGAUUAGUUCUCAUAAUUUCAAAACUUGAUGAAUCUUUAAGUUUUUGCUAUCAAUCUUCAGCAAAUCUUUUCUAAUUUGUGAAUAAAACCAAAAUUCGUUUUAAUCUUAAAAAUAAAUGUUAAAAUAACUGGUUUUAAUGAAAAAAUUCAUGAUGCACCAGUGAAUGACACCUAUGCACCAGUGAUUGACAUCCAACUGCCCCAGUUCAUGGCACCCCCUGAAGAUUUUUACUUUCACUCGAAAAA